UCUCUUUGUCGUGAAGUCUCCAAAGUUCCAUUUUUUAGCCGCUAAUAUCAUUCAAUUUGUUCAUUUUACAAUUCUCUCACCAAUUGGUGGAUUCUAAUGGCGACGUUCGACUUAUUAUACUCUCUCUUGAUCGAUCUCUGCCACUUGGUCCGAACCUGCAUCCGCUCCGCCAUUGCUCAGCUGACGUACUGAAAGAGGCUCUUGUGUGUGUGAAGAAUCAUGGCCGACUCGGAGAAUUUGCUUUUGGAAGCUGCGGGCCGAACGGGUGCAUCCCCAAGGAAAAGGCGGUCAUUACAACAUAUAGAAGGAGACGUCAAGGUUGGUAUUUGGUUCGUGGAAGCGAUUCUAGGGAAGAUUACUCUGACGAUGGCUGCAGUUAUUUGGGGAGGAAGCCAUCGGGAUCUCAAGUCCUUCUGCAGAAGAGAUCUGAAUCUACGGAGAUACACGGUGAUCAGGGCGGCCUGGAGGGUGAUGAAGACUAUGGGGGCUCGGAUCCUGGGGCGGGUAGUAGUGAUGAAUCUGAUUAUGUGGGCAGCAAUUUGUACGAGGAUGACGAUGACCGCGGGAAGCCCGUGCAGAUGACUGAGCUCCAAAAGAAUGGAUGUUAUGCGAUCGAUCGAGCAACAGAGAUGAUGAGGACUUUAAGAAAAACUUCAUGAAAAUGAAGGAGAACGAGGAGGCUUCUCAGGCACCUUCCACAGGACGGAUCCAAUCAUCGACUUGUUCUGCUGACAGGGCGGCUGCCAAGGAUGGUGCCUUGAACAAGUUGAGGGCAAAGCGGCUAAAGCAGCGGGGAAUCUCAAGUCUAACCAUCAAAGGAAGUUCUGAUAAUUGCGAUUUUUCUCUGUCAGGUGAAAUCACUUUGCUGCCGGUCUCAAUCACUUCAUUCAGAGUGAUAGCAAAAUUGAGUAGAAGCAAAAUCAAGGUCUUAUAGUAAGCUAUAUUUUAGGUGGGCUACGGCAUCCUAAGGGGGUAUCUGCAGAUGUUGCUGUCAGUCAUAUGCACAAAUAGUAGUUUUUCUAGUGCAAAAAUGAUCCUAGGAAAUUUUCGUUCUUUCUUUUUUCUCUUUUCUCGUAUCUGAUUUGUCAUUUUGAGCCAAAUGAAAUUAGGUCCCUGUGAGUUCAUUAUCUCAUCACGCGGGGCAUCGCUGAGUCUGCAAUAUAAAUUUGGAAGUGCAAUAAGUGCGUAGAUUGGAGGAUUUGAUCUGGAACACCGAGCAAAAGAUAAACGACAGGCUCCCAUUUAUUACCGGUUUUCGACAAUUGGAACUUGUUUUGUAUAUGAGAUGAAUGCCUUUAUUGUAGUAACUGCUAUUGCAGAAUGAAUGUCUAUUUUCGACGACAAUAAACUAAAGAAUGAAGACAGUUACGAGCAA
Non-coding RNA from Punica granatum (pomegranate), 1375 nucleotides. The record is from RefSeq and is a predicted model, not a curated record. Lineage: Eukaryota; Viridiplantae; Streptophyta; Magnoliopsida; Myrtales; Lythraceae.